RNAcentral lists this transfer RNA (78 nucleotides) under Schizochytrium aggregatum. It matches the Rfam family "tRNA", at positions 5 to 66 of the family's 71-position model. From Rfam's summary of the family: Transfer RNA (tRNA) molecules are approximately 80 nucleotides in length. The record is from RNAcentral. Lineage: Eukaryota; Bigyra; Thraustochytrida; Thraustochytriidae.
UUGUAGCUCAGUGGUAGAGCGUUUGGCUUUUACGCGUCUAAGGCCAACCAAAUGGUCGGGGGUUCGAUCCCCCCCAAG